RNAcentral lists this small RNA (67 nucleotides) under Bacillus sp. CECT 9360. RNAcentral describes it as "Bacillaceae-1". It matches the Rfam family "Bacillaceae-1 RNA". The record is from RNAcentral. Lineage: Bacteria; Bacillati; Bacillota; Bacilli; Caryophanales; Bacillaceae.
UAAAAAGGAAGAACGACUAAGACCGUCACGUCCUAUGACGAACGCUGACGUCACCACGUCCUGUGGA